GAUGAAGAACGCAGCGAAAUGCGAUAAUUAAUGUGAAUUGCAGAAUUCAGUGAAUCAUCGAAUCUUUGAACGCACAUUGCGCCCCUUGGUAUUCCGAGGGGCAUGCCUGUUCGAGCGUCAUUAUAACCCCUCAAGCUCAGCUUGGUGUUGGGGCCUGCCGCACGGGCAGCCCUUAAAAUCAGUGGCGGUGCCAUCUGGCUCUAAGCGUAGUAAUUCUUCUCGCUAUAGAGUCCCGGUGGAUGCUUGCCAUUAACCCCCAAUUUUCUAUGGUUGACCUCGGAUCAGGUAGGGAUACCCGCUGAACUUAGGCAUAUCAAUAAGCGGAGGA
This 328-nucleotide unclassified non-coding RNA is filed under the name soil metagenome. Its description in RNAcentral is "partial contains 5.8S ribosomal RNA, internal transcribed spacer 2, and large subunit ribosomal RNA". The stretch from base 1 to 120 matches the Rfam family "5.8S ribosomal RNA", at positions 35 to 154 of the family's 154-position model. The record is from RNAcentral.